GAUGAACGCUAGCGGCAGGCCUAACACAUGCAAGUCAGGGGUGACAUAGAAAAGCUUGCUUUUCUGAUGACGACCGGCGCACGGGUGCGUAACGCGUAUACAACCUACCUUUUAGCGGGGAAUAGCCCAGGGAAACUUGGAUUAAUGCCCCAUAGUAUAUGGACUUCUCCUGAAGUUUAUAUUAAACAUUUAUGGCUAUUAGAUGGGUAUGCGUCCUAUUAGUUAGUUGGUAAGGUAACGGCUUACCAAGGCAGCGAUAGGUAGGGGUCCUGAGAGGGAGAUCCCCACACUGGUACUGAGACACGGACCAGACUCCGUACGGGAGGCAGCAGUGAGGAAUAUUGGACAAUGGGCGAGAGCCUGAUCCAGCCAUGCCGCGUGCAGGAAGACUCGCCCUAGUGGGUUGUAAACUGUCUUUUACAGAGGAAGAACCCACCCCCACGUGUGGGGGUUUGACGGUACUCUGCGAAUAAGGAUCGGCUAACUCCGUG
RNAcentral lists this ribosomal RNA (491 nucleotides) under uncultured bacterium. Its description in RNAcentral is "bacterial SSU rRNA". It matches the Rfam family "Bacterial small subunit ribosomal RNA", at positions 28 to 507 of the family's 1533-position model. The record is from RNAcentral.